This 468-nucleotide ribosomal RNA is filed under the name uncultured bacterium. Its description in RNAcentral is "partial 16S ribosomal RNA". It matches the Rfam family "Bacterial small subunit ribosomal RNA", at positions 28 to 507 of the family's 1533-position model. The record is from RNAcentral.
GACGAACGCUGGCGGCGUGCUUAACACAUGCAAGUCGAACGGAAAGGCCCUGCUUUUGUGGGGUGCUCGAGUGGCGAACGGGUGAGUAACACGUGAGUAACCUGCCCUUGACUUUGGGAUAACUUCAGGAAACUGGGGCUAAUACCGGAUAGGAGCUCCUGCUGCAUGGUGGGGGUUGGAAAGUUUCGGCGGCUGGGGAUGGACUCGCGGCUUAUCAGCUUGUUGGUGGGGUAGUGGCUUACCAAGGCUUUGACGGGUAGCCGGCCUGAGAGGGUGACCGGCCACAUUGGGACUGAGAUACGGCCCAGACUCCUACGGGAGGCAGCAGUGGGGAAGAUUGCACAAUGGGCUGAAGCCUGAUGCAGCAACGCCGCGUGCGGGAUGACGGCCUUCGGGUUGUAAACCGCUUUCGCCUGUGACGAAGCGUGAGUGACGGUAAUGGGUAAAGAAGCACCGGCUAACUACGUG